Molecule: small nuclear RNA, 330 nt
Filed under: Dasypus novemcinctus (nine-banded armadillo)
Lineage: Eukaryota; Metazoa; Chordata; Mammalia; Cingulata; Dasypodidae
Description: 7SK RNA (ENSDNOG00000029098.1)
Rfam family: 7SK RNA
About the family: 7SK was discovered as an abundant small nuclear RNA in the mid-70s but a possible function has only recently been suggested.
Source: RNAcentral
GGAUGUGAGGGUGAUCUGCUGAGACAUCUGUCAUCCCACUGAUCACCAGGGUUGAUUCAGCUGAUCUGGUUGGCCAGGCAGGUGUCCCCUUCUUCUCUCACCGCUCCAUGCACAUCCUUCCCCAAGCUGUGUGCUAGGUCAGAGAGGAGGACCUUUCCUACUAGAAGCUAGAAGACCACUGUUCUUCCAUCAAGGGUGUUCAAGUAACUGUGCUCCCCUGCUAGAAUCUCCAAACAAAUGCUCAAGGUCCAUUUAUAUGAAAUGCCCUAACAGACAAAUUCAUGGUUACAGAAAGUAGAUUAUUGAUUGCCAGGGAUUGGGGCAGGGAAA